UGGGUGAUCUGCCCUGCACUUUGGGUUAAGCCUGGGAAACUGGGUCUAAUACCGGAUAUACCCUGCUGGUCGCAUGGCCUGGUGGGGGAAAGCUUUUGCGGUGUGGGAUGGGCCCGCGGCCUAUCAGCUUGUUGGUGGGGUGAUGGCCUACCAAGGCGACGACGGGUAGCCGGCCUGAGAGGGUGUCCGGCCACACUGGGACUGAGACACGGCCCAGACUCCUACGGGAGGCAGCA
This 236-nucleotide ribosomal RNA is filed under the name uncultured bacterium. RNAcentral's name for it is "partial 16S ribosomal RNA". It matches the Rfam family "Bacterial small subunit ribosomal RNA", at positions 118 to 353 of the family's 1533-position model. The record is from RNAcentral.